UCCCUCUCAGGAUGGCACCUGGAGAGUUUCCAGGACUCUAUCAGUCUCAGCUAUGGGAGGAAGAGUCAAGCAGAGGCCUACCCAUUCCAUUCCUAGCUUGGCUAGCGAGUGGCAGGCAGUCUGCUACAAGU
Molecule: small nucleolar RNA, 131 nt
Filed under: Ornithorhynchus anatinus (platypus)
Lineage: Eukaryota; Metazoa; Chordata; Mammalia; Monotremata; Ornithorhynchidae
Source: RNAcentral